UGAGAAAUAUAUGUUGACACAUUGUCUAGU
Molecule: non-coding RNA, 30 nt
Filed under: Rattus norvegicus (Norway rat)
Lineage: Eukaryota; Metazoa; Chordata; Mammalia; Rodentia; Muridae
Source: RNAcentral